AGUGAACGCUGGCGGUAGGCCUAACACAUGCAAGUCGAACGGCAGCACAGUAAGAGCUUGCUCUUACGGGUGGCGAGUGGCGGACGGGUGAGGAAUACAUCGGAAUCUACUUUUUCGUGGGGGAUCACGUAGGGAAACUUACGCUAAUACCGCAUACGACCUACGGGUGAAAGCAGGGGAUCUUCGGACCUUGCGCGAUUGAAUGAGCCGAUGUCGGAUUAGCUAGUUGGCGGGGUAAAGGCCCACCAAGGCGACGAUCCGUAGCUGGUCUGAGAGGAUGAUCAGCCACACUGGAACUGAGACACGGUCCAGACUCCUACGGGAGGCAGCAGUGGGGAAUAUUGGACAAUGGGCGCAAGCCUGGUCCAGCCAUACCGCGUGGGUGAAGAAGGCCUUCGGGUUGUAAAGCCCUUUUGUUGGGAAAGAAAAGCAGCAGGUUAAUACCCCGCUGUUCUGACGGUACCCAAAGAAUAAGCACCGGCUAACUUCGUG
RNAcentral lists this ribosomal RNA (492 nucleotides) under uncultured bacterium. Its description in RNAcentral is "partial 16S ribosomal RNA". It matches the Rfam family "Bacterial small subunit ribosomal RNA", at positions 29 to 507 of the family's 1533-position model. The record is from RNAcentral.